AGUGAACGCUGGCGGCGUGCUUAACACAUGCAAGUCGAACGAGAACGGAUUAUAGCUUGCUAUAAUUGUCAGCUAAGUGGCGCACGGGUGAGUAAUAUAUAGGUAACGUGCCCUAGAGAGGGGGAUAACAGUUGGAAACGAUUGCUAACACCCCAUAUGCCUUUAUCCCAUAAGGGAGCAAGGGAAAUAUUUAUAGCUCUAGGAUCGGCCUGUACAGUAUCAGUUAGUUGGUGAGGUAAUGGCUCACCAAGACAAUGACGCUUAACUGGUUUGAGAGGAUGAUCAGUCACACUGGAACUGAGACACGGUCCAGACUCCUACGGGAGGCAGCAGUGGGGAAUAUUGCACAAUGGACGAAAGUCUGAUGCAGCAACGCCGCGUGGAGGAAGACGGCCCUAUGGGUUGUAAACUGCUUUUGUACGGGAAGAAACACCCCCUCGUGAGGGGGCUUGACGGUACCGUAAGAAUAAGGAUCGGCUAACUCCGUGCCAG
Molecule: ribosomal RNA, 492 nt
Filed under: uncultured bacterium
Lineage: Bacteria
Description: bacterial SSU rRNA
Rfam family: Bacterial small subunit ribosomal RNA
Source: RNAcentral